GUUCGUUCAUCCUGUCUUCGGAGUUGGGAGUAACCGCCACCGGACCUGGCAAGUCCCACUUCCAGACUUGGACGCUUGGUGCUCUCCUUCCCCAAGACAGGGGUGCCCUGGAGGAGGCCCAGAUGGCGUGUGGGGUCUUCCCCACCAGCUUUCAGAAACUCCAGAAGAUAAUGAAAUGAUAUAUUCUGAAAUGUGAAGAGCUGAAAAUGCAACAAAGAUGCAGCCCUGAAAACCUGAGACUCAUUAUCCACACAAACAAAUAGAGGUUUAACAGGAGAUUGUGGUUUGAGACAUUCCUGAAAACAAAAGAAAACCAAAAAAGGGAUGAGAGGAGAAUAUUUGGCUAGCAAAUACCACAGACUACUCACACAGCAAAGGCAGAUAAGUGCAGUGACCAAGAAUGCCUUCUAGUGGUCUUCAUUGAAGAUAUGAUUGUCCUGGUUCCAUCGAUUCCCAACACACCGGAUCGUCUCUCCCUUUUUCAGGAAUCUGUUACAUUCAAGGAUGUGGCUGUGGACUUCACUAGAGAGGAGUGGAGACAUCUGGAGCCUGCCCAGAGGGCCCUGUACAGGAACGUGAUAUUGGAGACCUAUGAGAACCUGGUCUUUGUGGGACUUCCUGUUUCCAAACUGGAUGUGAUCUCCCUGUUGGAGAGAGGGGAAGCCCCAUGGUGGCCCGAGGGAGGAGGCCCCCAAGGCUCUUGCCCAGAUGGUGUUAGUCAGGAGACCAGAUGUGAAAGCAAAGAUGCAAGUCUGAUAAAAUGCAUUUACAUGGGGGAAUCAUCCAAGACAAGACUUCCAGCGAAUAUUCCCUGGCAUUCCAGGACAACAGAACCAAUGGAAUAUAAUAUUAAUUUAGAGAUACAGAAGGGUGAUCAGGAGAGACAAUUCAGACUAGUAACAAUCCCACAGAGAAUAACUUUUAAUGAAAUGACUGUACCACAUUGUACUACUUUGGGAGGAAGUUUUAAUCUGGCAUCAAUCUUUGUUCCAUCAUGGAAAAGUCCUGUGGAGAAGAGUCUCCACAAAUAUAAGACACUUGACAAACAAAUAAAGGAUUUUUCAGACUUACUUAUAUGCAAUGCUUUUUCCUCAGGGAAGAAUCUUUCUCAGUAUGACAAAUGUAAGAAGCCCUUUAGUUACCACUCAGACCUAAUUAAAUACCACAGAAUACAUACUGGAAAAAAGCUCCAUGAGGACAAUGAAAUGGGAAAGGCAUUUGGUAGAAGAUUAUGUGUUAUUGGCUGUCAGAAAAUUCAAAUUGGAGAGAAAUAUGAAUGUCACAAAU
Trichosurus vulpecula (common brushtail) is the source of this 1287-nucleotide long non-coding RNA. RefSeq lists it as uncharacterized. Lineage: Eukaryota; Metazoa; Chordata; Mammalia; Diprotodontia; Phalangeridae. The transcript is spliced from 6 exons. The record is from RefSeq and is a predicted model, not a curated record.